CGCGUAGGCGGUUCAUUAAGUUGGAUGUGAAAACUCUGGGCUUAACCCAGAGCCUGCAUUCAAAACUGAUGGGCUGGAGUUCUGGAGGGGAUAGCGGAAUUCCUGGUGUAGCGGUGAAAUGCGUAGAUAUCGGGAGGAACACCGGUGGCGAAGGCGGCUAUCUGGACAGAAACUGACGCUGAGGCGCGAAAGCUAGGGGAGCAAACA
This 207-nucleotide ribosomal RNA is filed under the name uncultured bacterium. RNAcentral describes it as "partial 16S ribosomal RNA". It matches the Rfam family "Bacterial small subunit ribosomal RNA", at positions 568 to 774 of the family's 1533-position model. The record is from RNAcentral.